UGUUAUAUCUAUUAUUAAAUAUUGUGUGCUAGAUUAGUAAAAGUUAUGUGCUCUAAAUUCAAAGAAUUUGGCGGCUUUUUAAUCUUAUUAGGGGAACCUGUUCUUUAAACGAUAAUCCACGUAAAAUCUUACCUGUUUUAGGUAGUUUGUAUACCGUCAUUUAGAUAACUUUAAAAGAAUAAGUUAUUGAAAUAAUUUUGUGGUUAGAAUGUUAGAUCAAGGUGCAGCGUAUAAGCAGGAUAGAAUGGGUUACAAUAAAAUUUAUUUACAACGGAAAAAAUCAUGAAUAUGGUUUAUUUAAGGAGGACUUAAAAGUAAGAUUAUUUUAAUAUGGUAGUUUGAUUUUAGCUCUAAAUUGUGUACAAAUC
This 368-nucleotide ribosomal RNA is filed under the name Clibanarius taeniatus. Its description in RNAcentral is "partial 12S rRNA". Lineage: Eukaryota; Metazoa; Arthropoda; Malacostraca; Decapoda; Diogenidae. The record is from RNAcentral.